Long non-coding RNA from Diceros bicornis minor, 7647 nucleotides. RefSeq lists it as uncharacterized. The record is from RefSeq and is a predicted model, not a curated record. NCBI's taxonomy places the organism in Eukaryota, Metazoa, Chordata, Mammalia, Perissodactyla, Rhinocerotidae. The transcript has 11 exons.
AGGGAGAACUCCAAUGGCGUCUGUGUCAGCACGCCCACACCAGGCCACAACAAUGGCCGCCACCAAUGUCCCAGUCCCUGGAGAGGUCUCACCCCUCACCGAGAUCCACUCAGGGCCUAUCAGAGUGAAUAACAAUUUUAUUGAAGAAAGCCAAAAGUGUAUUUUGUCUGAUAUUUGUAUAGCUACUUCAGCUAAUUAUUAUUGAAGUCUACCACUUCUCACCACCAUCAUGGCCUCCACCAUGACCCUCUGUAGGCUCGACACUCUAUUCUCAACAAAGCAUCCAGAGAGAGCAUUGUAAAUUGAGAAAGAUGGUCCCUGAGCUAACAUCAGUGCCAAUCUCCCUCCAUUUUGCAUGUGGGAUGCCGCCACAGCAUAGCUUGAUGAGUGAUGUGUAGGUCCGCACCCAGGAUCUGAACCCAUGAACCCCAGGCUGCCGAGACUUGGACAUGUACAGCUCCUUCAUAUUGGCUGCUGUGCCCUUUGACAUGCCCCGAUCCUGGGCAGGAACAAGAAAAUGGUUGGGUCAUGGGAUCAGAAACAUUCUUCUAGCGGAGCCCUCUCCACAGGGAAGCAUGAAACCAAGCUACGGAUGAUCCUCCUUCUGAUUUUUUUCCGUUGCUGUACAUGGUAUUCAUUUGUAUAUAAAUGUAGAGAGGAAUGGAAUAGAAUAGAACGGAAUUGAAGAGAAGAGUAAUAAAAAGGAAAGAAACGACACUGAGUCAUUGAGCUUUUCCUUGUUUAUGGCCAAUAAGAAAAAUAGUUAUCCUUCUAUAUUCCCUCAAACUGCAAUGCUGCUACGUUGAAUUUAAGUUCCUCAAGUGACCCAUCGUCCCCCUUGUCAAGAUAAGUGGUUUUAUCUGCACAAAAUGUUCUUCACUUACCUAUUCCCCUAGAUAUGAAUGCAUCAAGUAGCUGAAAAAUACUCUAAUUUUAAUUUAGAGAUAGAUGACUUUGCUUACUAACUGCCUGAGGGUUAUGGAAUUUAAAUAACCUAUACAACUAGGGAAUGACCCAGAGACUUCCUAUAAGUUUCAAUUUUCUGUGAUUCUUGAUUUCAAGAAUACACCGAUUUAGUUAAUAAAUAUCUAAAAUUUGAAAAACUGUGAAGCAAGUUCCAGAGUUCUCUGAAAUAUAUCAUAGCUGUAAUUUGAAUGACUCUUCCAAACAAGUUAUGCCAACACUGCUCAUGGGCUGUUAUCCAGGUGUGUGUGUGUGUAUGUGUGUGUCUGUGUGUGUAAAGCGUCUCGUAAAUGUCCUCCAGAUGGUGUGAUGAGUAGAGGGAUUUGCUGUCUUUUUUUCUUAGCAUUAAAGCCUUGGGUAUCCCCACGGCUAUGCAAAGGAAGGUAUCCCCGUGGCUUUGUGUGAAGUGUAAAAGCUUUAUUCUUGUUUUGUAGAAGUUUCUUUUAGCAUAGCAACAUUCAGAGACGAAUCUAAAAGCAAAAUAACUUUUAAGCUUGGAGUUCUGCUAUGAAGAUUACUUUCUUUGGUAAAAAGAAUCCCAAAUAGUGUCUGAAAAUAGGUCUCCAUGGGCACAUUUUAUGAUUUGAAAGACUUUUUUCCUUUUUCUUAAAAAGCUUGUUUAGAAGCCUAAAUAACUAACUUCAGUGAAAGAGAAAAAGAGCUCACCAACUUUGGAAAGUAGGCAAAGUACCUUACAUUGCCUGCCUCCCAUCCACAGCUCAGCUGUCAGAAUGGCAGCCAUAUUCCCAUGAUCAAAACCACCUAAUUUUCUAAAUACCCAGUUUUAGGCGUAUAACAACAACAAACAUUUUCAAUACAUCAGUUUGUCAUGUUAAUUUAAUACUUUUUGAGGCUUUCGCAUUCCAUAUUUAUUCUGAAUUUUUUUUCUCCUUUACUAAAAUUGACCCCUCCUAUAUACCACUUCACAUCCUCUUAGUCUCUCUCACUUGUCUCUUAUUUCAGCCUUUGCAUGGGUUCCAAUCACCUUUAGGCAGGUGAGUGGAGAUGAUCACCUCUUCCUCCACCAUCUACAAAGGAUGAUUUUAUGAUGUGCUUCUUUGAGGAUCUCAAAGAAACGAGCACUUGGUUGCCCCCUGGCAAGGCCAACUCAGUGAAACAUAAUUGUCAUGGCUCUCCUUUUCCCCCUUUCUCUCCUCCUUCUUUAUUCCCUUUCCCCAGGAUGAUAUUCCCCCCAAAAUACCCUUACAUAUAUGUUUGUUUCAGGCUCUUAUUUCUAGGGAACCAAACUAAAAUGUUCGGCAUUGCAUCUGAUAAAUCAUUACAUAUUUUAAGGUUUACUUAUUAAAUAAAUUGCAAACCUAUCCUCCUCUUCUAUACCCAGUGACAUGACUUAUAAUAGAGCUUUUGUUUAGAGCCUCAUCAUUUCUCAGAGUAGCCUCCAAGUUUUCCCUUUCCCUUUUCCCCAAAACCUUGGCAUUACUGUCAACGUUAUCUUUCAACAAAUGCAAACGCUGCCAUACAUCCCUUUAUUUACUUUACUCCAGUUACUAUCUCAGACACUCAGCAUGGUAUAGAACACCGCUCAGAAACCAGUUAAUGGCUGCUUCUCUAGGCUAAUCCUCUUACAUCCAUGCCCUGUUUCCCAGCACAUAAAUAUUGUAUUUGCAUGUAAUAAAAACUUCUAGAAAGAUACGCCUGGGUAUUUUCAUAAAUGGUCCUUUAUUUAAGUAAGGAACUAAGUGUUAAUCGAGAGACAUAUGUAUACACUUGCAGCAUUGGUUUCCAUCUCUGUCCACAAGGCCAUAGGGACAUUACUCCCUGUCUAGUACAUUUGUCAUCCUCAAAACAGACUCAGGUAUUACGUGGUCUCAAAAAAUUGCUUUGAUGCCUUCACUUGAUAGUGAAUUUAACCACUCCUUUUUCUGUACUACUUUGUACCUGGUCCUCUAUCUGUUAUAUCAAAAUUUAUUUUUUCCUUUCAGAUAUUUGUUGAAUUUAAUUGUGUGCGUUUAUCACAAAACAUUUCUUUAUACUUUUCUUUUUUAGUACAUUAUUGUGCCAGCUAAUCUUUAUAGUUUACUCCAAGUUUACAAGCAGAGGUUAAUUUUCCAUCUGUCUGCGAUCCUUUCUAAGAGGUUCCUUUCUGAAUUUGGUAGGGAUUUGGAUCAAAUGACAUUUUUUAAGCCUUUCAUUGUCUUUUGUAAUAAAAAUUGAAAAGAAAUGACAAUUAGAGUCCCUUCCAGUCGAUUAUAUUUGACACCUCACUUUAGAUUCUCUAUGUAAGCAAUGAUGAGAGGCCAAUCAUACAUGAAACACUGAGAAAGCAUUAUAGAGUGCAUGAAAGUGGUAAUAUAAGUAGUGCAAACACUAAAUGAUUUACUACUUCAGGGGAAGGAUGUAUUGAUUUUUACUGGGGUGUUUGGAAAGGCUUAUAAGAGGUGUGGCAUGGAUUGAUUUAUUAAUGUUGAAGAGUUAGUUCAAAAAUCCAAGAGCAGUAUCUACCUAACACGUGACACACCUGUAAUACUGAGUACGCUUCAAUACAUAAAAGAUAUAUACAGUGAUAGAAGGGCCAGAGAAAUCCAAGUGGAGUACAUCAAUAAAUCAAUAACGAGGGUAGCUCAGUGGAUUCUUACGUUCUUAAGUAUGAUGCAUCUAUCAAACAAAUAACAAGAUGAAAUAACCUUUUAAAUGGUGAAACACUAAUUUUAUUGGGUGUAACAAGAAUCUGAUGUUUUCCUACUAUUAUAUUAUUAUUCAAUUUUUUGGAGUUCUGGAAAAUGAAACAUACAAUAAAAUUAUUUAAAAACUCAUAGAAAUUUCAUAAAAGAAAAAUUAAAUUAUUUACUUUUACUGACGAUUUGAUUACAUUCCAAAAUAAAACCCAAAUGCUAUAAUAAAAUUAAUUUGAUUUAAGAUAUAAUGAUAAAAUAUCUUUACAUAAGCUGAAAAUAAAUCAUAGCUUGUUUUAUUCCAAAAAGUAAAUACCUAGAAAUUAGAAUUUGAGAAUCAGAUAAAAAUCUUAAUGAAAGGCAUGGAACAAUGUUUUUAAUUUGUUUUAAACAAAUGUGAAGAAAUUGCAUGCAAGUGGAGAAAAAUAGAAUGUAAAUACACAAACAAUAAAAUUAUAAUAAAAGUGUCAAAUUUCUUGAAGUGAAUAAUUUUUGAAGUUUAUGUAGUAAUAAAUAUGUAAGAAUUGCCAAGACAAUUAUUUAAAAAAAUGAAUAUAAGCAUAAACAAUCUGUGGCAGAGCUAAUGUGUACCUACACAAUAGUUGACCCCCAAUCUCUUCUCCAUUGAUUAACUUCCAAUCUCAUGAUUAAAAAUUGAUGAAUUUUCUAGCCACCACACUCUUAGGAGUGGUCAUGUGACCUAAUUUGCCCAAUGAGACAGAUCUAAGUAACAUUGAGGGGUUUUAGGAAGUUAUUUCCUCUUUGAUUAAAGAUAUGCCCAUAAAUAAUGUUUGUAAAAUUCUUAUCUGAUAAACAAUUUAGGACAGUCACAAAAUAAAAAUAAAGAGCCAACCCUGAUGGCCUAGUGGUUAAGUUUGGCAUGCUCCACUUUGGCAGCUGGGGCUCAGUUCCUGGGCGUGGAACCACACCACUCAUUUGUCAGUAGCCAUGCUGUGGGGGCAGCUCACAUAGAAGAACUAGAAGGACCUACAACUAGAAUAUACAGCUAUGUACUGGGGCUUUGGGGAGGAAGAAAAAAAAGAGAGAGAGAGUAAGAUUGGCAACAGAUGUUAACUCAGGGUGAAUCUUUCCCAGCAAAAAAUGAAUAAAAAAAUAAAUAAAAAUAAAAAGGUAUGCUCAAUAAUUAAAGUCUCUCCUAUUUCUUUCUUCUCCCCACUUUAUUCUCCCUUUAGACAAGGUAAAGUGAGCACCUGAGGCAUGGAACUAUAGCCACCAUCUUGCGAUCAUGAGACAGAAGCAAGAAUGCCUUUUGGAGAAGCCAAAAUGACACAUGACCUGGAGUUGAGAUCAGAUAGUACUAAUCUGUUGAGAGAGGAGAAGGAACCAAACUCUGAAGGAGAUGCUGUUAUGAGAGACUCUAUAGCUCUGAUGGAGCUCCCAUCAAAGAGCAACCAGUACCAAAGAUAGUUCCAUUGAGUGUCUGGCUCAAAAUACAGGUGCUGCUGCUACUGCUGCUCAUCCACAGUUUGGGAACAGCUGUACUGGAGUAAGAGCUGGGCUUUGGGCCAUGAGUGACACGAAUAAGCAAGAUGAAGAACUGACAAGUGGAUUUUGACAGGGUUGUAUAUGUGAGUUUGAGAGCCAGAGUUGAGAAGAAGUAAACUGCUCCACAUAAUCAAUGAAGAACUCAGACCACAAAUGAAAAGUUUUGGAGGGAAUGUGAGAGACAAGAUUGGAAAGGAGAGAUUUUGCACCAAAGAGUUGAACAGAAACCUAUAUAAGUUCCAGUCUGUCACCCUCUAAUGCCGUUCAAAUCUGCAGUUGUUUCUGGAAUCAGAGAUAGAAAAAUGGUGUAAUUGCAUUUCUUAAAACCAGUUAAAGGCUGAAUAUCACAUCUUUGAUACUGAAGGAAAAAAAAAAACAGGCAAAAUUUGUGAAGGUAAAGAAUCUGUAGUCAAAGGAAAGCAUUGACAUCCAAUCAUACCUCUAGUCUCAUAUGGCUUUUUAGUCUUCCUAUUAAAACUUGGGUUUAUUUAGAAUGAUAACAAUCCACUAACUUUCCUAGAUUUGCUGUGAAAUAAUUAAGUGAUGUUUGUGUUUUGAUUUCAUUUUGAUGGCAGACAUUAGAGCACAUAUUUGAAGCUGUGAGCAGUAUCUCCGUCCCUAAAAUUUCUAAGUAUCACAUUCUACUUGAUGUUUGCACAAAGCAGUUAAUUGUCUUUGAAUUUACAGAUCUCCAUAGCUCAAAGAGCAGCACGUAGAUUUGAAGCAGUUGUGACUAAAUGGGAUUUGGGACUACAUCCCUUGGAGAGAGGGUGAGUGUGAUCUGCGUUAGUGCAAAACAAUGAAAGAGUUACCUGGUGAACAGAAGGGCAGAGUGUGACAGAGCAUGGCUGGAUGUUUACAUGGCCUUACUUCUUGGACAUGCCACUCUACAUCUGAUUUUUCAUCCUCUUUGUCAUAUGUCUUUAUGACUAAACUCUGGCCAGUGGAUUACGGGUAAACGAUGUCUUCCACUCUUAGUUAAAAUGCCUUCUUCCGCCACACAUACAAACAAAGUAAAACAAAAAAUGUCCAUGCAGUCGUCUAUCCAUCUCGUCCUGGUCAGUGGACUGGUGAUAACACCAAGAGUCACCUUGGAAACUAUGUGAGGAUGGCAGCUCCCCGUCCACUUAGGUUUUUGACUGGGCAUGUGAAAAGACCCUGCCCCCUCCACAUCUCCCAGCAGCCUCCCCAGCACACACUGGAUUGGACUUUAUCUGAGCCAGAAAGACUUUUCUUAUGUUAAUUCACUGAGAUUUGGGGGUUUAUCUAUUACAGCAACUAGCAUCAUUGAUGUAUAUAUAUAUAUAUAUUUUAUUUUUUGUGAGGAAGAUUAGCCCUGAGCUAACAUCCAUGCCAAUCCUCCUCUUUUUGCUGAGGAGGACUGGCCCUGGGCUAACAUCCGUGCCCAUCUUCCUCUACUUUAUAUGUGGGACGCCUGCCACAGCAUGGUUUGAUAAGCGUGCGUGGGCACCCGCCUGGGAUCUGAACCUGCGAACCCCAGGCUGCUAAAGUGGAGCAGGCGAACUUAACCACUCCGCCACCGGGCCAGCCCCACAACCAACAUCAUUUUAAUUAAGAGAGUAACUUUCAAUUAAAUCCCAAAUUUAACUUGUCACUUUGAUAGAACAACUCAACAAAAAUAUAUAAUCCCCCAAAGACCAAGUAGCUUCCUUCUAAAAAAGAUUUUACUUUUGUGCAUUUCAGUCCUUUUUAUACUUAAAAUGUAUAUACAUUUCUCAAACUACAAAUGCUGCUGUCUUUCCUACUGAUCUGACCUGGGGAUCACACUUCUGCUAGCCACUCCUCCUAGCUGCCUACAUCAAUGUGUUUACCCUAGGGCAACUUUCCUAUAACUGCUCUUGGGUCUAAAAGAAUAAUUUAUAUUUUUCCUGCUUUGAAAAUGAUAACCCGGAUUAACUCAUUUCAGUUUCUCACAUUUCCUAUGAAUCACUAAGGAAGUGGCUAAAAACAAUCUAUAUAUCUAAAUAAACUGUAUUAACAUUUUCAAAAAAUUUUCUUAUAGAAUACUUUAUUUGAUAUGCACAUAAAAACCCAUGUCAGAGGUGAGGCGGUUGCUCUCAGCCCCACUUUACUAGUAAGUACAAGUUGAGUCGUAGGUCAUCCAGCUGGCCUGUGGUUCAUUCUGGGCUUCAGAGCCCUACUUCGUGACACUUUUAAACUCAGCAAAAUGCUAUCAAGUUUUAACCUAGCACAACAAAUCACUACUUUCUUUUUUUAAAAAGCUUUGGUCCUGAGGUCAGAGAAAGUAUACUAUGCUCUGUCUAUUCUUCAGCACCUAUCACAUUUUCUCAAAUGUCACAGGACCCAAUUAAAAAAUAAAGUUUAGGGGCCUGCCUUGUGACAUAGUGGUUAAGUUCACGUGCUCUGCUUCAGCGCCCGGGGUUGCCUGGGUUGGAUACUGGGCACAGACCUAUGCACCACUCAUCAAGCCAUGCUGAGGCUGGGUCCCACAUAGAGCAGCUAGAAGGGUGUACAACUAUGACAUACAACUAUCUUCUGGGGCUUUGGGGAGAAAAAAGGGAAA